This 74-nucleotide transfer RNA is filed under the name Eubacterium sp. CAG:180. It matches the Rfam family "tRNA". From Rfam's summary of the family: Transfer RNA (tRNA) molecules are approximately 80 nucleotides in length. Their secondary structure includes four short double-helical elements and three loops (D, anti-codon, and T loops). RNAcentral also lists the same sequence under 1 other name. The record is from Rfam by way of RNAcentral. Lineage: Bacteria; Bacillati; Bacillota; Clostridia; Eubacteriales; Eubacteriaceae.
GCGCCAAUAGCUCAGCUGGAUAGAGCGUCCGCCUCCUAAGCGGAAGGUCGGGGGUUCAAAUCCCUUUUGGCGCG